RNAcentral lists this ribosomal RNA (582 nucleotides) under uncultured fungus. Its description in RNAcentral is "eukaryotic LSU rRNA". It matches the Rfam family "Eukaryotic large subunit ribosomal RNA", at positions 56 to 652 of the family's 3401-position model. Lineage: Eukaryota; Fungi. The record is from RNAcentral.
GAAAAGAAACCAACAGGGAUUGCCUCAGUAACGGCGAGUGAAGCGGCAAGAGCUCAAAUUUGAAAUCUGGCUCCCUCGGAGUCCGAGUUGUAAUUUGAAGAGGAGUCUUCGGUUCGGACCUCGAUCUAUGUUCCUUGGAACAGGACGUCGUAGAGGGUGAGAAUCCCGUACACGGUUGAUGGUCUCGUCCCAUGUGAAGUUCCCUCGAAGAGUCGAGUUGUUUGGGAAUGCAGCUCUAAAAGGGUGGUAAAUGUCAUCUAAAGCUAAAUACCGGCGAGAGACCGAUAGCGCACAAGUAGAGUGAUCGAAAGAUGAAAAGCACUUUGAAAAGAGAGUUAAAAAGUACGUGAAAUUGUUGAAAGGGAAGCGCUUGCAAUCAGACUUGCUCUGGGCCGAUCAACGUACCUUCUGGUGCGUGCACUCGGCCCUCCGCAGGCCAGCAUCGGUUCGGACGGCGGGACAAAGACCGCGGGAACGUGGCUCCCUUCGGGGAGUGUUAUAGCCCUCGGUGCAAUGCCGCCUGCCCGGACCGUGGACCGCGCUUCGGCUAGGAUGCUGGCGUAAUGGUUGUAAGCGACCCGU